RNAcentral lists this long non-coding RNA (466 nucleotides) under Homo sapiens (human). RNAcentral's name for it is "non-protein coding lnc-FAM9A-1:2". The record is from RNAcentral. Lineage: Eukaryota; Metazoa; Chordata; Mammalia; Primates; Hominidae.
CUCGCUUCCUCUGUUUUUGUGUGAUCUCUGCACAUGAGUAGAAGCAUCCUGAAUCCCUCACCAGAUGCCCAGUGAUCCAGCCAGCAGAAUUGAUUUGUUACUUGAUCUCCAUGUGUAUAUGCAAAUAUUUGCCUGUAUUUAUUGUCAUCAUCAUACUUUGGGCACUGGCCAUGCUACCUCUGUGAGGAAAGAAGGGAAAGGAAAGGAAAAAUAAGAAAAGAAGAAAACAUCCAUACAGGGUCUCACUCUGUCACCAGGCUGGAAUGACAGACUGAUAGGCAGACUCACAUAGCCUUCUUGCCUUUCCCUGAGGAGUUGACUCCAAUUGUCCUACACAUUCCUUCUCUAUGAUAUAGAAGCCCUGGGUCUCAGCGGUAAUGGCCUGGGAUUCACCAUCUCCUCUUGUGGCCACCUGAGACAUGGCUUCUGUUCCUAAGCCCCUAUUAAAUGUUCCUUUCAGAGAAAA